GGGAUCUCAACCGUCACCGACGCAGCGGAUCAGAAUUGAGAGCCCCGAAUUUCAAAUUAGCCGGGUUUUUAUAGAGGUUACAGCAAGGUUCUUCUUCAUGGCACCAAGACUGCUGAGAAAUGCUCCAAAUUUACCUCUGAUCUCAGAGGUUAGAAGGGUAGAAGAAGAGAGUUCCUGAAUAGAGCCACAUGAUUAUCACUGGAGCCAAUGGUUAAGAUCUCUCAAGGAAAUAGUACUUUGUAUGCUGAAUGAUUCUUUUUGGACUCAAUGUAUUGCACUACAUUGUUAUUGUGAGAUUCAUAUUCAAAAAUUAUGAGAAAUGUAAAUGUCAUUAGAUAAAUAUUCUAAAGUACUCG
Heterocephalus glaber (naked mole-rat) is the source of this 356-nucleotide long non-coding RNA. Lineage: Eukaryota; Metazoa; Chordata; Mammalia; Rodentia; Bathyergidae. The record is from Ensembl.